Molecule: ribosomal RNA, 542 nt
Filed under: Mycobacterium genavense
Lineage: Bacteria; Bacillati; Actinomycetota; Actinomycetes; Mycobacteriales; Mycobacteriaceae
Description: bacterial SSU rRNA
Rfam family: Bacterial small subunit ribosomal RNA
Source: RNAcentral
GUGCUUAACACAUGCAAGUCGAACGGAAAGGCCUCUUCGGAGGUACUCGAGUGGCGAACGGGUGAGUAACACGUGGGUAAUCUGCCCUGCACUUCGGGAUAAGCCUGGGAAACUGGGUCUAAUACCGGAUAUGACCACGGAACGCAUGUUUUGUGGUGGAAAGCUUUUGCGGUGUGGGAUGGGCCCGCGGCCUAUCAGCUUGUUGGUGGGGUGACGGCCUACCAAGGCGACGACGGGUAGCCGGCCUGAGAGGGUGUCCGGCCACACUGGGACUGAGAUACGGCCCAGACUCCUACGGGAGGCAGCAGUGGGGAAUAUUGCACAAUGGGCGCAAGCCUGAUGCAGCGACGCCGCGUGGGGGAUGACGGCCUUCGGGUUGUAAACCUCUUUCAGCAGGGACGAAGCGCAAGUGACGGUACCUGCAGAAGAAGCACCGGCCAACUACGUGCCAGCAGCCGCGGUAAUACGUAGGGUGCGAGCGUUGUCCGGAAUUACUGGGCGUAAAGAGCUCGUAGGUGGUUUGUCGCGUUGUUCGUGAAAUC